Molecule: ribosomal RNA, 448 nt
Filed under: Alkalihalophilus pseudofirmus
Lineage: Bacteria; Bacillati; Bacillota; Bacilli; Caryophanales; Bacillaceae
Description: bacterial SSU rRNA
Rfam family: Bacterial small subunit ribosomal RNA
Source: RNAcentral
GCUCAGGACGAACGCUGGCGGCGUGCCUAAUACAUGCAAGUCGAGCGGACUGAUGGGAGCUUGCUCCCUGAUGUUAGCGGCGGACGGGUGAGUAACACGUGGGCAACCUGCCUGUAAGACUGGGAUAACUCCGGGAAACCGGGGCUAAUACCGGAUAACCCGUUCCACCUCAUGGUGGAGCGGUAAAAGAUGGCCUCUGGCUAUCACUUACAGAUGGGCCCGCGGCGCAUUAGCUAGUUGGUAAGGUAACGGCUUACCAAGGCGACGAUGCGUAGCCGACCUGAGAGGGUGAUCGGCCACACUGGGACUGAGACACGGCCCAGACUCCUACGGGAGGCAGCAGUAGGGAAUCUUCCGCAAUGGACGAAAGUCUGACGGAGCAACGCCGCGUGAGUGAUGAAGGUUUUCGGAUCGUAAAGCUCUGUUGUUAGGGAAGAACAAGUGCCGU